RNAcentral lists this ribosomal RNA (429 nucleotides) under Chloroflexota bacterium. RNAcentral's name for it is "Chloroflexi bacterium partial 16S ribosomal RNA". It matches the Rfam family "Bacterial small subunit ribosomal RNA", at positions 355 to 776 of the family's 1533-position model. Lineage: Bacteria; Bacillati; Chloroflexota. The record is from RNAcentral.
UGGGGAAUAUUGCACAAUGGGCGCAAGCCUGAUGCAGCCAUGCCGCGUGUAUGAAGAAGGCCUUCGGGUUGUAAAGUACUUUCAGCGGGGAGGAAGGGAGUAAAGUUAAUACCUUUGCUCAUUGACGUUACCCGCAGAAGAAGCACCGGCUAACUCCGUGCCAGCAGCCGCGGUAAUACGGAGGGUGCAAGCGUUAAUCGGAAUUACUGGGCGUAAAGCGCACGCAGGCGGUUUGUUAAGUCAGAUGUGAAAUCCUCGGGCUCAACCUGGGAACUGCAUCUGAUACUGGCAAGCUUGAGUCUCGUAGAGGGGGGUAGAAUUCCAGGUGUAGCGAUGAAAUGCGUAGAGAUCUGGAGGAAUACCGGUGGCGAAGGCGGCCCCCUGGACGAAGACUGACGCUCAGGUGCGAAAGCGUGGGGAGCAAACAGG